This 507-nucleotide ribosomal RNA is filed under the name uncultured bacterium. Its description in RNAcentral is "bacterial SSU rRNA". It matches the Rfam family "Bacterial small subunit ribosomal RNA", at positions 26 to 500 of the family's 1533-position model. The record is from RNAcentral.
AGAAUCAACGCUGGCGGCGUGCCUAACACAUGCAAGUCGAACGCGAAAGUGGAGCAAUCCAUGAGUAGAGUGGCAAACGGGUGAGUAACACGUGGGUGACCUGCCUUCGAGCGGGGGAUAACGUCCCGAAAGGGACGCUAAUACCGCAUAACAUCCUGCCUUUUAAGAGGUGGAGAUCAAAGCCGGGGAUUCGCAAGGACCUGGCACUUGAAGAGGGGCCCGCGCCUGAUUAGCUAGUUGGUGGGGUAAUGGCUCACCAAGGCAACGAUCAGUAUCCGGCCUGAGAGGGCGGACGGACACACUGGGACUGAGACACGGCCCAGACUCCUACGGGAGGCAGCAGUGGGGAAUUGUUCGCAAUGGGCGCAAGCCUGACGACGCAACGCCGCGUGGAGGUAUGAAGACCUUCGGGUCGUAAACUGCCUUUCGCAUCGAGACGAAAUGGUUUUCGGAGUGAAUAAUCCGGAGUACAGUCACGGUACCGCAGCAGAAAGAAGCCCCGGCUAA